Molecule: small RNA, 425 nt
Filed under: Arabidopsis thaliana (thale cress)
Lineage: Eukaryota; Viridiplantae; Streptophyta; Magnoliopsida; Brassicales; Brassicaceae
Description: ATSL091570
Source: RNAcentral
CCAUAUUAUGGACAAAACCGGUGAAGCUAGAUGCAUGUUAUUCGAUAGUCAUGCAAAGGAAAUUCUUGGUACUACUGCCCCUUAAUUGCUUGAUGGUUCAUUUGAUGAGUUAUAUUGCCUUUUUUAAAAUAAACUCUUUCAUUAAAAUGACUACGUUCAUGUUAUACUAAUCUAUAUUUUUAUGUAGAUCGAAGACCCAACUGUUUUGCUUGAUGUGAUCAAUGGUUUGAAAGGGAAGACUUUUCAGUUUCUAUUGUGUAUUCAAAGGGAAAACAUAUUUGGUGGAUAUGAUUCAUUCACUGUUGUGCGAGUCUACACCGGUAACAUUGCUGAUGAAAUCGUUCAAGAAGACUCUGAUGCAUACGUUGAUCCAUCAUCCUUAAUUUCGAUCGAACAUGUUUGACUAAUAACGUUAAACAAUUCCA